Molecule: ribosomal RNA, 253 nt
Filed under: uncultured bacterium
Lineage: Bacteria
Description: partial 16S ribosomal RNA
Rfam family: Bacterial small subunit ribosomal RNA
Source: RNAcentral
UACGUAGGUGACCAGCGUUGUCCGGAUUUACUGGGCGUAAAGAGCGCGCAGGCGGUCGUUCAAGUCGAGUGUGAAAGGCCCCGGCUCAACUGGGGAGGGUCAUUCGAUACUGAUCGACUCGAAGGCAGGAGAGGGAAGUGGAAUUCCCGGUGUAGUGGUGAAAUGCGUAGAUAUCGGGAGGAACACCAGUGGCGAAGGCGACUUCCUGGCCUGUUCUUGACGCUGAGGCGCGAAAGCUAGGGGAGCAAACGGG